GACGAACGCUGGCGGCGUGCUUAACACAUGCAAGUCGAGCGGUAAGGCCCUUUCGGGGGUACACGAGCGGCGAACGGGUGAGUAACACGUGGGUGACCUGCCCUCAGCUCUGGGAUAAGCCUGGGAAACUGGGUCUAAUACCGGAUAUGACCCCAUGACGCAUGUCGUGGGGUGGAAAGCCUUGUGCGGCUGAGGAUGGGCCCGCGGCCUAUCAGCUUGUUGGUGGGGUGAUGGCCUACCAAGGCGACGACGGGUAGCCGGCCUGAGAGGGCGACCGGCCACACUGGGACUGAGACUACGGCCCAGACUCCUACGGGAGGCAGCAGUGGGGAAUCUUGCGCAAUGGGCGAAAGCCUGACGCAGCGACGCCGCGUGAGGGAUGACGGCCUGGUGUAACUCUU
Molecule: ribosomal RNA, 401 nt
Filed under: uncultured bacterium
Lineage: Bacteria
Description: bacterial SSU rRNA
Rfam family: Bacterial small subunit ribosomal RNA
Source: RNAcentral